This 502-nucleotide ribosomal RNA is filed under the name uncultured Microbacterium sp. RNAcentral's name for it is "bacterial SSU rRNA". It matches the Rfam family "Bacterial small subunit ribosomal RNA", at positions 9 to 523 of the family's 1533-position model. Lineage: Bacteria; Bacillati; Actinomycetota; Actinomycetes; Micrococcales; Microbacteriaceae. The record is from RNAcentral.
GAGUUUGAUCCUGGCCAGGAUGAACCCUGGCGGCGUGCUUAACACAUGCAAGUCGAACGGUGAAGCCGGAGCUUGCUCUUGUGGAUCAGUGGCGAACGGGUGAGUAACACGUGAGCAACCUGCCCUGGACUCUGGGAUAAGCGCUGGAAACGGCGUCUAAUACUGGAUACGAACAAGAAUCGCAUGGUUACUUGUUGGAAAGAUUUUUCGGUCUGGGAUGGGCUCGCGGCCUAUCAGCUUGUUGGUGAGGUAAUGGCUCACCAAGGCGUCGACGGGUAGCCGGCCUGAGAGGGUGACCGGCCACACUGGGACUGAGACACGGCCCAGACUCCUACGGGAGGCAGCAGUGGGGAAUAUUGCACAAUGGGCGGAAGCCUGAUGCAGCAACGCCGCGUGAGGGAUGACGGCCUUCGGGUUGUAAACCUCUUUUAGCAGGGAAGAAGCGAGAGUGACGGUACCUGCAGAAAAAGCACCGGCUAACUACGUGCCAGCAGCGCGGUAA